CUGGUUGAUCCUGCCAGUAGUCAUAUGCUUGUCUCAAAGAUUAAGCCUUGCAUGUCUAAGUACAUGCCGAAACAAGGCGAAACCGCGAAUGGCUCAUUAAAUCAGUUAUGGUUCCUUAGAUCGUUUCUUCCUACUUGGAUAACUGUGGCAAUUCUAGAGCUAAUACAUGCAGCGAGCCCGAAGCCCCUCGGGGCGACGGGUGCUUUUAUUAGACCAAGAUCAAUCGGGCUUUGGUCCAUUUUGUGUGGUGACUCUGGAUUACUUUGUGCUGAUCGCACGGCCACGAGCCGGCGACGUUUCUUUCAAGUGUCUGCCUUAUCAACUGUUGAUGGUAGGUUUCUCGCCUACCAAUGGUUGUUACGGGUAACGGAGAAUCAGGGUUCGAUUCCGGAGAGGGAGCCUGAGAAAUGGCUACCACAUCCAAGGAAGGCAGCAGGUGCGCAAAUUACCCACUCCCGUCACGGGGAGGUAGUGACGAAAAAUAACAAUACGGGACUCUUUUGAGGCCCCGCCCCGUAAUUGAAAUGAGUACACUGUAAAUCCUUUAACGAGGAUCCAUCGGAGGGCAAGUCUGGUGCCAGCAGCCGCGGUAAUUCCAGCUCAAUUAGCGUAUACUAAAGUUGCUGCUGUUAAAAAGCUCGUAGUUGGAUCUCAGUUACAGGCGGGAAGUGCGUGGACACCACGUUACGGCCCGUGCUGAACAUCAUGCCUGUCGUGGCAUGGUUUCUUCAUCAGGUGCCUUGCUUUGACAAAAUUAGUGCUCAACGCAGGCGAUUCGCCUGAAUAAUAUUGCAUAUUGCAAUAAUAGUGCAUGGAAUAAUUGAACAAGGUUCUGUUUCUGUUCUGUUGGCUUUAGAGCGCAGCUCUUAGGCUCCCGUUUCCGGCUUGACCGGCGUCGCCGUCGGCGUCGCCGUUGCCGUCGCCAUCGCCGUUGGCGUAACCAAGGUCACCCCAAGGUCACGUGGCCCUCCAAGGUCACGUGACCCUUCACGGUCACGUGACUCUCCCCCGAGGUCACGUGACCCCCCCUGAGGUCACGUGACCCCCCGCCGAGGUCACGUGACCCUCCGGUAAUAAGGUAAUAAAAUGAAAUGAAAAAUGAAAUGAAAUGACGUCAUCGUCACUGAUGACGUCACCGGCAUCCGCAUCAUCAUCGUCAUCAUCAUUGAUGACGUCAUCGUCACUGAUGACGUCACCGGCAUCCGCAUUGUCAUCGUCAUCAUCACUGAUGACAUCAUCAGUGACUUCACUAAUGUCGUCACCGUCAGCCGCAUCGUCAUCGCCAUCAUCACUGAUGACGUCACCGACAUCCGCAUCGUCAUCAUCACUGGUGAUGUCAUCAGUGACGUCACUAAUUACGUCAUCGGUAUCCGCAUCGUGAUCGUCACUGAUGACGUCAUCAGUCACGUUACUGAUGACAUCAUCGGCAUUGUCAUCGUCACGUGACCCCCCAAGGUCACGUGACCCCCCCCCCCCCCCCCAGUACCCUUCCCUCCUCCUCCUCAAGAGCUGUGCUCUAAUUCGGCGUUACAGGGAGUUGUAAACGGCUUUCACUUUUUGGAAGGUGAUGUUUUUGAUGAUUUAUUGAGGCUCAGCCAUUAACCGGGAGGUUUGUCCACUAUCUCACAGAAGAUGGAUAUCCUCCGUUAAAAAAAAAAGACAAGAGAGGUACGCAUUUUUUUUUUAAAUUUUUCACACACACAAUUUUUGUGAUUAAGAGGGACAGACGGGGGCAUUCGUAUUGCGCCGCUGGAGGUGAAAUUCUUGGACCGUCGCAAGACGAACUACUGCAAAAGCAUUUGCCAAGAAUGUUUUCGUUGAUCAAGAAAGAAAAGUUAGAGGUUCGAAGGCGACCAGAUACCGCCCUAGUUCCAACCAUAAACGAUGCCAACCAGCGAUCCGCCUGAGUUACUCAAAUGACUCGGCGGGCAGCUUCCGGGAAACCAAAGUAUUUGGGUUCCG
RNAcentral lists this ribosomal RNA (1962 nucleotides) under Ixodes scapularis (black-legged tick). Its description in RNAcentral is "eukaryotic small subunit ribosomal RNA". It matches the Rfam family "Eukaryotic small subunit ribosomal RNA", at positions 4 to 1116 of the family's 1831-position model. The record is from RNAcentral. Lineage: Eukaryota; Metazoa; Arthropoda; Arachnida; Ixodida; Ixodidae.